UCAGCCCAUCUGAAAGAGCCAGUCAUAUCUAAGCCCAAUAACAACAUAUCACGAAGAAAUCGUUGACGAUCAGUCAAAUCACGUGUUUGUCUUGUUUCUUGUCACAGCGUCUCGUUGGAAUUUCUCGUUUGCUCCGCUGUUAGCUCCAUCCGGUGGAAUCUCUGAUUAUUUAUCCUCUGUGAUCACCCCCGAGUGAAGGGAAAUUUUGCGGUUGACUCUCCUGGUUAAUAUAAUAUAGUGCAGAUGGCUAUUGACAGAUAAGGCUGAAUAUUAUCAGUUCGGUGCAAACCUGGCUCUUUAGCAGUGCCUUUACAAAUUUCUGCAGUGGUGUGUGUAAACUUCAGUAAUAGUAAUGUUCCCUUCCAUUUUAGCAUGACAAAGGGUGAAAACCGAACAAAUAUUGCAUGAACAUAGAGGUGAGUCAUUGGAUUCUAGACAUAGCUCCCAUUGUAUACAUUAUAUUCUGUCCCUUACAAUGCGUAACUCUGGGUCACCCCAUUUUUAUCCUUGUAAUGCCUCGAGUUAGAGACAACAGUGGUUGUGAUAACUCACUAGUUAAUAAAACAGUUGUUAAACCAUGUCUGCUACCAAGUCAAUAACAUUUCCACUUUGCGUAGUUUGCCUCCCAAUGUGUAGAGUCGCUGAAUCUCAGAAUCCAUAAGGGGCUGUAUAGGGGCCUGGCAGAGCACAAUCUGGGUAUUUUAUGUGAACGUUGUGGAAGAAGCAAAGAAAAUCUGACUUUUUUUUUAAUUCUCUUGGAUAAUUCCUAGUGUGUUAUGUUCAGUUAUUUCUCUUGGACUCUUUUAAUUCCAUUUUCUAUGGAUAGUUAUGAUUUUAAAAUAUCAUAUACUUACCAACAUGUUAAAAGGCAGCGGGCUCUCAUUGGGGCAGUAAUAUCUAAAAUCGCACCAAGGCUUUAAAAAGCUUUUGUCCUUUUGGUC
Molecule: long non-coding RNA, 941 nt
Organism: Capsicum annuum
Lineage: Eukaryota; Viridiplantae; Streptophyta; Magnoliopsida; Solanales; Solanaceae
Exons: 2
Source: RefSeq, a predicted model, not a curated record